GGUUCGAUGGUGUAGUUGGUUAUCACUUCUGUCUAACAGUUACAGCGCUUAAGCAGCGUAACCUGUCGCACAGGCGGUCCUCAGUUCGAACCUGGGUCGAAUCA
Non-coding RNA from Mycena metata, 104 nucleotides. The record is from the annotation of a GenBank genome assembly. Lineage: Eukaryota; Fungi; Basidiomycota; Agaricomycetes; Agaricales; Mycenaceae.